RNAcentral lists this ribosomal RNA (247 nucleotides) under uncultured archaeon. RNAcentral's name for it is "partial 16S ribosomal RNA". It matches the Rfam family "Archaeal small subunit ribosomal RNA", at positions 691 to 937 of the family's 1478-position model. The record is from RNAcentral.
CCGACGGUGAGGGAUGAAAGCUGGGGGAGCAAACCGGAUUAGAUACCCGGGUAGUCCCAGCUGUAAACGAUGCGCGUUAGGUGUGUCAGUGACCACGUGUCACUGAUGUGCCGAAGAGAAAUCGUGAAACGUACCGCCUGGGAAGUACGGUCGCAAGGCUGAAACUUAAAGGAAUUGGCGGGGGAGCACCACAACAGGUGGAGCCUGCGGUUUAAUCGGACUCAACGCCGGAAAACUCACCAGAUAA